Molecule: long non-coding RNA, 138 nt
Organism: Sebastes umbrosus (honeycomb rockfish)
Lineage: Eukaryota; Metazoa; Chordata; Actinopteri; Perciformes; Sebastidae
Exons: 3
Source: RefSeq, a predicted model, not a curated record
CUCAGGUUUAUAGCACAAUUACUGUUGUCAUAGCCCGGCUCCUAGGCCAUGACAAAUACGGGAAAGGACGCAGUGAUUGAUUGUAAAUUAAAGAUAUUUAUUACAAAUAAAUUAAGGAUAUACAGAAAUAACUACAAA